This is a long non-coding RNA of Quercus lobata, 1271 nucleotides long. RefSeq lists it as uncharacterized. The transcript is spliced from 6 exons. NCBI's taxonomy places the organism in Eukaryota, Viridiplantae, Streptophyta, Magnoliopsida, Fagales, Fagaceae. The record is from RefSeq and is a predicted model, not a curated record.
UUUCAUGUGCCUCCCCUCCAUCCACCAUAUCAUGCUUUCAUGCUUUUAUAGAAUUUUUAGGAUAUCUACGGUAGAAUGUGAAAUAGUUAACCAAUUCUUCUUUUCAAAAAAAAAAAAAAUUCCCUAUGUAUAUGUGCAUUCUCUGCUGAUCAGUAUUUGGGCUUUAGAGAUUAGAGGUUUGUGCAUUCUCUUCAAAUAUCUUUCAAACUGUUGACUUGUAUCUAUUCAUUCUUAAACAAUCUGAUUUGCAGGACUCUUGUAAAUAUGGAAUUCAAAGAGAUGCUGCUUAUUUUCCCCCACGUCCUACUGAACAGUCACAUGUUAUGGGGCCAUCCUAUCCUCUGAUGGUGGGGAUUCAAUCACAUGCAGUGGAUAUUAGUGCAGAUGAAUGAACGUGAGAGGUAGGGUCCAAGGAAACUGAUGAAAAGGCUGAUGAGGUUCUAAAGUAGGAUAUUUUGGAUUGUUGGACGCCAGAAAAUCACUACGGAUGGACUGAAUCUGAGUGUUAAACAUGUUGGGUUUAGACCAUCUGUAAUGAUUUUCUGGAGUCCAACAAUCCAGAAUAUCCAACUUUAGAACCUCAUCAGCCUUUUCAUCGGUUUCCUUGGACCCUACCUCUCACGUUCAAGUAGCUGCACUAAUGUUGGAGCUAAUCUGAAUGAAGGUUUUGAAACCUUAAUUGAAUAAAAAGGCUUUUUAUGUGGGUUGCUGAUAAAUGUACCUUCAUUUUAACUGAAGGAGAUUCAGCUAAGGCUCUUGCAAAGCUGGAGAGACUUCAAGAAGAGGAAUUAGUAGAGAAGCCAUUUCAACGGAAACAAAUGAAAGUAAGGUUCCCUGAGCAUGGAAGAAGUGGAAGAUCUGUUGUAACAAUUAAUAACUUGGAAUUUGGCUUUGGAGAUAAGGUGCUCUUGAACAAGGCAAAUCUUACAAUUGAAAGGGGAGAAAAACUUGCCAUAAUUGGCCCAAAUGGAUGUGGAAAAAGCACUUUGCCGAAAUUAUCAUUUGGAUUUAGAGAAGCCAAGAGGGGGUGAAGUUUUGCUUGGGGAGCAUAAUGUCCUGCCAAACUAUUUUGAGCAAAAUCAGGCUGAGGCACUUCAUUUCAAUAAAACAGUGCUUGAGACAGUAGUAGAAGCUGCAGAGGACUGGAGAAGUGAUGACAUAAAGGGACUCCUUGGGCGUUGUAAUUUUAAAGCUGAUAUGCUUGAUAGAAAGGUUUCUCUUUUGAGUGGUGGUGAGAAGGUAAGCUAAAACUGUAUGCUCUUAUGCGAUUU